GGGUCAGUAGGUUGGUCGUGCCACCGGUACGUACUGGUCUCAAUGAUUCCUCCUUCCUGAAGAACCGUAAUGCCAUUAAUUUGGUGUUGCGGGGAAACAGGACUGUUACUUUGAAAAAAUUAGAGUGUUUAAAGCAAUCUAACGCUUGAAUACAUUAGCAUGGAAUAAUGAAAUAGGACGAUCGAUCCUAUUUUGUUGGUUUCUAGGAUUGACGUA
This 216-nucleotide ribosomal RNA is filed under the name Glomeromycotina sp. RNAcentral's name for it is "partial small subunit ribosomal RNA". The stretch from base 40 to 216 matches the Rfam family "Eukaryotic small subunit ribosomal RNA", at positions 686 to 864 of the family's 1831-position model. Lineage: Eukaryota; Fungi; Glomeromycota. The record is from RNAcentral.